Molecule: ribosomal RNA, 687 nt
Filed under: uncultured bacterium
Lineage: Bacteria
Description: bacterial SSU rRNA
Rfam family: Bacterial small subunit ribosomal RNA
Source: RNAcentral
GAGUUUGAUCAUGGCUCAGAUUGAACGCUGGCGGCAUGCCUUACACAUGCAAGUCGAGCGGCAGCGCGGGGGCAACCCUGGCGGCGAGCGGCGAACGGGUGAGUGAUGCAUCGGAACGUGUCCUCUUGUGGGGGAUAACCAGUCGAAAGACUGGCUAAUACCGCAUGAGAUCGAGAGAUGAAAGCAGGGGACCGCAAGGCCUUGCGCGAGAGGAGCGGCCGAUGCCGGAUUAGCUAGUUGGCGGGGUAACGGCCCACCAAGGCGACGAUCCGUAGCUGGUCUGAGAGGACGACCAGCCACACUGGGACUGAGACACGGCCCAGACUCCUACGGGAGGCAGCAGUGGGGAAUUUUGGACAAUGGGGGCAACCCUGAUCCAGCCAUGCCGCGUGUGUGAAGAAGGCCUUCGGGUUGUAAAGCACUUUCGGACGGAACGAAAUCGCGCGGGUGAAUAUCCCGCGUGGAUGACGGUACCGUAAGAAGAAGCACCGGCUAACUACGUGCCAGCAGCCGCGGUAAUACGUAGGGUGCGAGCGUUAAUCGGAAUUACUGGGCGUAAAGUGUGCGCAGGCGGCGUCGCAAGUCGAGUGUGAAAUCCCCGGGCUUAACUUGGGAAUUGCGCUCGAAACUACGGUGCUGGAGUAUGGCAGAGGAAGGUGGAAUUCCACGUGUAGCGGUGAAAUGCGU